Molecule: ribosomal RNA, 511 nt
Filed under: uncultured bacterium
Lineage: Bacteria
Description: partial 16S ribosomal RNA
Rfam family: Bacterial small subunit ribosomal RNA
Source: RNAcentral
UGGGGAAUAUUGCACAAUGGGCGCAAGCCUGAUGCAGCGACGCCGCGUGAGGGAUGGAGGCCUUCGGGUUGUAAACCUCUUUCGCCAGUGAAGCAGGCCUGCUCCUUGUGGGUGGGUUGACGGUAGCUGGAUAAGAAGCGCCGGCUAACUACGUGCCAGCAGCCGCGGUAAUACGUAGGGCGCGAGCGUUGUCCGGAAUUAUUGGGCGUAAAGAGCUCGUAGGCGGCUGGUCGCGUCUGUCGUGAAAUCCUCUGGCUUAACUGGGGGCUUGCGGUGGGUACGGGCCGGCUUGAGUGCGGUAGGGGAGACUGGAACUCCUGGUGUAGCGGUGGAAUGCGCAGAUAUCAGGAAGAACACCGGUGGCGAAGGCGGGUCUCUGGGCCGUUACUGACGCUGAGGAGCGAAAGCGUGGGGAGCGAACAGGAUUAGAUACCCUGGUAGUCCACGCCGUAAACGUUGGGCACUAGGUGUGGGGGGCCUUUUCCGGGUCUUCCGCGCCGUAGCUAACGCA